CCUACGGGAGGCAGCAGUGAGGAAUAUUGGUCAAUGGACGAGAGUCUGAACCAGCCAAGUAGCGUGAAGGAUGACUGCCCUAUGGGUUGUAAACUUCUUUUAUAUGGGAAUAAAAUGUUCCACGUGUGGGAUUUUGUAUGUACCAUAUGAAUAAGGAUCGGCUAACUCCGUGCCAGCAGCCGCGGUAAUACGGAGGAUCCGAGCGUUAUCCGGAUUUAUUGGGUUUAAAGGGAGCGUAGGUGGAUUGUUAAGUCAGUUGUGAAAGUUUGCGGCUCAACCGUAAAAUUGCAGUUGAAACUGGCAGUCUUGAGUACAGUAGAGGUGGGCGGAAUUCGUGGUGUAGCGGUGGAAUGCUUAGAUAUCACGAAGAACUCCGAUUGCGAAGGCAGCUCACUGGACUGCAACUGACACUGAGGCUCGAAAGUGUGGGUAUCAAACAGGAUUAGAUACCCGAGUAGUC
This 460-nucleotide ribosomal RNA is filed under the name uncultured bacterium. RNAcentral describes it as "partial 16S ribosomal RNA". It matches the Rfam family "Bacterial small subunit ribosomal RNA", at positions 338 to 795 of the family's 1533-position model. The record is from RNAcentral.